Long non-coding RNA from Ostrea edulis (European flat oyster), 6390 nucleotides. RefSeq lists it as uncharacterized. Lineage: Eukaryota; Metazoa; Mollusca; Bivalvia; Ostreida; Ostreidae. The transcript is spliced from 2 exons. The record is from RefSeq and is a predicted model, not a curated record.
CAAGCAUGCAAUGUCAUACAUGUAUCUGAAAUCAAUACUUAUAAAAAUUAAUUAAAAUUAAAAUCUUCAAAUAUACAAUCUUGUUACACAUCUCCUAUAUUUUUCACUUACGAUAACUCUGAAUUUUUAAUAAGUGCGUCCUUUUGUCCACAAACUUUUAAUAACCCCUCAUAAACAAUUUACAAAUAUGAUAUCAGAAAUAAUAAUCUAAAAAAUUAUCCUGUUGUUCAUAGAUGCAUGCCAUCAACAUUAAGAGUAUAACAAAUAACAAAAGCUCUCCUGACAUUGUGCCAUUCUGAAAGAAAUGAGGUGCUUAUACCCCCAAAGGCAGGGGGGUAACCCAGAAUUGUGUCUAGAGAGCGGAAUAAUAUAUUUAUGGAAUUAACCAAAAAAUUAGUAAUAAUUUUUUUUUAGCUAUGAAUUCAUGUUAAAUAAAGUGCACCGCCAUGGCACAUGAUACGCCCGUCACAUAUUGUUAACAGUAUAGAUAGUACCCAUUAAAACAUUUUUUUUUUAAUAUCACCUUAAUUAAAUGUCACAGUGACCUUAAAGUAGGAUGCGAAACACCUUCUACCUAAGAUGCAUUAGUUGACCAAUUUUGGUGAUUCUAGGUCUAAUAGUUUUCAAGUUAUGAGCCGGACAAGUUUUUGCCAUAUAUGGCCAUAUCUUCUUAAUGAAAAGUCACAGUGACCUGGUUUUAAUGUGCGACACACCUUCUACCCAAGAUGUAUCUACAGACAAAGUUUGAUGAUUCUAGGCCUUGUAGUAUUUAAGUUACGAGUCGGACACGAAAAAGCUAACAGACGGACGGACAGACACGCCAUACCAUAAUACGUCCCGUCUUAAGACGGGCGUAUAAAAAUUGGUCAUGCAGGGCUCGCGCUGCCCAUCGCAUUUGUCGCAUUUUGCGAUUUUUCAGAAAAAAAUGCGACAGAAAUUCCGGAAAUGCGACACGGACAUUUCGUAUUUUAGUAUUCGCGCGCCAUUUUGAAUUUCAGCUGUUGGCAUCCAAACAGCCUCAGGGCUGUUUUACCUGUGCAGAAUGUGGAUACCCUGUCGCAUGGGAACAAUAAGACUUAGGGGCGUCUUGUUUAUUUAGCAGUUUACACAAAACAAAGGGUUGAUCCUCUAUGUGCAGACUUCAUAAAGUCCCUUCUCCUCUACAUGAUGAGAUUCACGAAAGGACCACUUUGUCAUUCUGGAUUUCAAGAUGAAAACAAGAUUCUUCAGUGAAAAUGUGAUGUGAAACUAUGAUCAUGUGUUAUAUAUUACAGUAAUUAAUUUUCAGUAACUUUGUCAUCAGUGACUUUUUUUAGACUGCAAAUUUAAUGAGUAAUAUAUGUCAUUUACACUACUAAAAUGAUUAAUAAACAUUUAGAAACUCAUUUCUUGUCUUUAUUUAAUAUAGCCAGUUUAUAUGCUAUGAAAUACUCCUAUUUUUUUCUGGUAUGAAAUAGAAUUGAGUCAACUUAGCCAAAAACAAUAUUUAGAAAUAAAACUAUGAUUGUGCUGCAAUGUCAUCAGACUGACUAAAAAGCAAUCUGCUGAAAUACAAUCGAUUUUCACAAUAUCCUAAUAAUUAUAGUGAUUUGUGAUCAAAGCUAAACAAAGCUAUGUUGUAUACAUUGUGUAAGAAUAAUCAGAGAUAUGAUAUGUUGUAUAUGCCUCUUGAAUAAUAUACAUGAAAUAUAGAUCUACAGUAAACGUGUAUGAGUCGAUGCACGCGCGUUAGGUUGCGACACAAAAUUUUGGUCCAGUGUGAGCCCUGGUCAUGGUAGCUCAGUGGUAACACAGUCUUCGACAUUAACCAGUGGCCUGAUGCCCGAGGCCAGUAAAAUCGGGAUCGGGCUUCUUAAAAUAUUAAACCCUGGAGUCAGAUGGGCCUGUAAAUGUUUUCUUAUAUGUUCUGUAUAUAUUACAAAUAAAGCGUGAGAUUGACUCAGACUAAAUGUCAUGACUUAGUAGUCAAAUUUCGCAUAGAAAAAUUAUCAACCAUGCUGCCUUUUCUGAAGUAUAGGGAGGGGGCUCGUCCGGGAAAUUCAAAACCACCCAAGCGUAUUUCACAAUCACAACCAUCCGAUAAAAAAACCAAAAAAAAAACUGUCGUACGAGGAGAAAAAAACGAAAAUUCAUGCCCCAUUGGACCGAGGGCAGUGUUCAAAAUUAACCAUAGACCGAGUAUAUGUCAAAUGGCACUGGUCUAUGCCAACUGUAAUUGAGAUAGACCAAAUUGUCUAUGCCAAUUUUCUAGAUUUAAAGCAAUAAAGUUAUCCAAGAGGGCCUUGCAUGGUCAGUCGACGUCUGAUAAACAUUAUGAGGAAAGGAUGAUAUUACAGAAAUGGAAAGAAAAUACACUUUCUAAGUAUAUUAGAAGUAAAUGAAAAUAUUUUAAAUUUGUGUUAUUAUUUUUUCAAUGUUGUGGUCUAUGCCAAUUCGAUGAGGUCCAAGUCAUCUUAUUUUGGCAUAGACCUGUGGUCUAUACCAAGUUUUAAACCAAUUUCGAACACUGCGAGGGUAGGCCUUGGCUAACAUUUAAAAAAUGUUUUGUACGUGGUGUAUACAAAACAGAGUUGAACAUGAGCUGCUGAUGUAUCUGCGAGAUUAAUCAGUCUAUGCGAAAGACAUCGGACCGUCGGACCUGACCGAUGUGCAGUGCCUCAGGUCCGAUGCAUCAUUUUUUACACCGGAUCGGAAUGUCAGAUGUCUCAAUGUCCGGUUUUGAGCUUUACUAUCUUGAUGCGGAGUUUGUUAUAAGUAAAAAAAAUAGCACACAUCCAAAUACGUAAAUGAAUUGAUUAAAACCGCAUGGACUGUCUAAAGUAUUAUACGGGAAGGAUUCCUGGAAUAGUAUUACUAGUAUAAUAAAUAAGAUUCCCUUGGUUUUGCAUUUUCACGUGUUUCACUUUUUUACAUUAGGUUUUUCGGUCUGACAAAAUUUGGUUCGGUCCGGUGUGUUCAUUGAUUACACUGGACCGAAUGUCCUGUGUGGUCCAAAAACUUUCGCAUAUACUGGAUUAAUAUGUUGAAAAAUAAUAUAAUCCUUUUAAUGUCAGUUGUUCUUUAACUAUGAUCAUCUUGACCUGUAUUUUCCUACAGUAAAAGAACUGUGAAUAGAGUAGAAUCAGCAAAUAACAAGAGAUCAAAUUAGAAAAUAAACAUUUUGGGCCUGCAAAAUAUUGUUCGGGCUUGCACAAUUAUUAUACUGGGAGGCCCGAAGGGCCUGUGCUUUACAAAGUUUUUCGUGAAGACUGGUAACAGGAUCAAGAAAUCAUGGUUUCGAGCCAUGCUUGUACUUUAUUUAGGGUGAAAAUGUAGAUAGUGAGGUGAAUGCUCCAUCAUCAUAUUUAGCAUUCAAAAGAGAAAGUUGCUGGUCUUUCAGAUGAGACCUUUAAACACCACAUGCAUGCGUCUAAAUGUGUGGCACUUCAUACUACUGAAAUAUUCUCUACAGGUAUUAUACUAAAAUCAAACAUACACAUACAUGUAUAUUCAUAUAUAUGUUAAAAAUCUUAAUUAUCAUUUUAGAAUUUUCUUCUUCUGACAAAAUGAUGCGCAAGUACAUAAAUGGAAGCUAUGCCACUAUAUGUCAUGACACUGUACAGCUUGAUCAGUUGAUACAUCACAUAAACAGUCACAGAUGUAAACAAUCAAGAAAAACUCAGUACACAACAUCACCCCUUAAUUUUGAAUUGUAGCUGAAGAUCAUUCUGCCAAGAUCGAAAUGCAGCUUGGCAAUGAUUAGCGAGGGUUAUAUUAUUCUUAAAAAGUAGAUUGAAAUCAAAAGUUAACUGCCAAAGUUAUCAGGAGACAAUAAUCCAUACAUGGUUCGAAUUUCCUCCACUGCCACCUAAAGUGCACGUGUAAACAACGCGAGUGACAUGCACCACACCCCGACAGGCUACAUUGUAAACAAGUAAAAUGCAUUCAGAGUAAUAGUUUUACAUAUGAUAUUCUGUUUGGUUUAUAGUCUUAGUAGCUACAUACCUAUGUGGUACACCUGUACCAUGUGCGUACUGCAAACAGUGCGGCGUAAUGUACAUUUGCAUCCUCGGGGAUUUCAACCCGGACAAAAUGGAACAUGCCAAUCCGAAUACAUAUAUAUCUUUCGUUUUUAUUUUUGCAUUUUAUUUAUUUAUCUAUUUAUGUCAUGGCGUUGGGAAAAAAACUUCAAAGUAGGGAGACAGAUGAAAAGGGGGAUACGGUCCAAUCAUCCAAAAAAAAGUCCCGUGUGGAGGGGUGGGGGUGGGGUUGAUUCCUAAGGACUUGGCGCAUAUCUAUUUGUUUUUAAAUGUGAAAUUCUAUCCAAAAUCAAUAUGAAUUUUUAGUAUACAGAGUACAUUAACUGCAAAGAUUAAAUUUUAGAAAAAACCCCAAACAGUUCACGUACUAGAUAUAUCACUUUCAUCAUCGGAAUUUUCAGUAACUCGGGUACUCUGUCGCUUGUACAUAACACGAUCGGUAUGAAACACCAUUUAAUCAGUCUAUCUAAUAAAAAACUCAUUGUUAAUAUGCAAAAUUUUUCUUUCAACCAUGUUUACUUACCUCAGAUGGGCCAACUUCUUUCCCUGGAAAACUCCAUUAUGAUGACAUCACAAAUUACGUCAUUCAAAACAGAGCAUGCGCACUUCGAAAGUGUGUAAGCCAUGCUCGCAAGGAAAAAAGAUGGACGAGUGCUAAAUCUUUACACACCUGUUACACACAUCUCAUAAAUCCUGUUAAGUAAACACUUCAGGAUUUUGAUGGUAGAUGAACUAUUUAAUGAUUUUAUGCUGAUUUUUAUAAAAAUCCAACUGAACACCACCAUUUUCGUGUUCCUUUGACCGACCCCGUGUUGAUUUACACGUGUGCCUUCUUAUUCACUGGUUCAAUUGACAGGGCUUACAAACACACACACACACACACACACACACACACACACACACACACACAGAUACACAUGCACGCAUCGAUUCACUCACAUGCUGCACGUACCACACACACACGCGUACAGAGAGAGAGAUAACACCAAUGGUUAGCUUUAGAUUUGUAUUUAACGUCAGCGAACACAAAACUUCUAGAUACCUCUGGAAGUCAAGCACAUUUGGUGAAUACCUAAACGACAGGCAAUACCACACUCCAAGUAUAUCCGUAAUGCAGAGGACGUUUGUUUCAAUAUAUUUAUUGUCAGUGUACCCCAGGCCAUGACAGUUUUGUUAGCUUUGCUGUGCAUUUAAUUUUUAUUCCUCUUUUCUACCAAUAAUCAACCAUCAAUUAUUUGGGACCCGCGAAGGCGCAGGUAAUUCUGGAUGGAGUGCAUUUAAUAGAAGUCUGGGCAUUACAUACUGUGGAAUAGUUUUAAUUCGUGUGGGACAAUGUUUGUGGGUAAGCAAAAUUUUGCUGGUUGGUGGCGACUUAAAUACGUGGGUAAGCGAUACGAUGACACUAGGAAAGAUAACUCUACUUGGUUUUAAAAUGUCCGAUGACACGUAAAUUCGCGGGUAAGAGUAAACAAUGAAAUCCACGGACAUCAACCCCCCACGAACAAUGAUGAUUCCACAGUAACUGGGCUGGUUUACGAAGUAUUUUCAUGCAGUAGAGUCGGAUCUGUUGACGCCAUAUAUAUAUAUAAAUAAUAAAUAAUAAAUGUGUUGAACUUAUGCAGAAGCGAUUUAUUCAAAAAAUACAUAUCACACAACUAUAUAUGCCAUACAAUAUACAUGUGACUAUUUAGAUAUGUAUAUGUGUAUAAAGACAAAGCAUGAUACUAUCAUAAUGUUUAUCGCUUAUAUUGUUACACAAUUUAUUGCUUGAAUAUUAACUUGGGGCAAUAUUAGAACAACCAGUCUCACGAAUAUCUUUCUGAAAGGUAACACAAAGAAUCAUAUUUUUUCUCUACAGAAAGACAUUCAUCACCCCACAAUAUUGUUUGAAUAUUAAUAAGACAUUUUUUAACAAUUGAUAAAUUUCCCAUCAUGGAACAUCUUGCAUCCGUUACAAUAGAUGUACUAUGUAAGUUAAGAUUCAUCCGCGCAUUGUUCACAACUGCAUAGCAUUCAUGAAAAUAUGGAUACCAUCAAAAUUAGUAAAGUCAUUAAAGGAACGUGCAAAAUGCCAAUGUUGUUGAAAUAUGUGACUGACAUGAUGACGUGACUCUAUUGAGAGAAAUACUGUCUGGGAUAGCAAAUCCCCCCCCCCCCCCCCCCCCCCCCCCCCCCAAUUUACAUCCGUUUUAUAUCUCUGCAGAAUUCGUGUUACGUUAGCUUAUCUGUUAACAAUGCAAAAUAGGCGCCUAUAUCAAAAUAUAUGUGGAUGUAUUAAAAUAAGAUGUCGUUAUGAUGAGUAUUUGUAUGUAUCAAAAUAAAAUGUCUUUAUGAUGAUUAUAAAUAAUAAUAAUAAAAUGAUAAUACCAUA